UACGGAGGUGGCAAGCGUUGCUCGGAAUCACUGGGCGUAAAGGGCGCGUAGGCGGGCCACCAAGUCCGGGGUGAAAUCUUUCGGCUCAACCGGAAAAGUGCCUUGGAUACUGGUGGUCUUGAGCGAGGUAGGGGCAUGUGGAACUUCCGGUGGAGCGGUGAAAUGCGUUGAUAUCGGAAGGAACUCCGGUGGCGAAAGCGACGUGCUGGACCUCUUCUGACGCUGAGGCGCGAAAGCUAGGGGAGCGAACGGG
This 253-nucleotide ribosomal RNA is filed under the name uncultured bacterium. Its description in RNAcentral is "partial 16S ribosomal RNA". It matches the Rfam family "Bacterial small subunit ribosomal RNA", at positions 524 to 776 of the family's 1533-position model. The record is from RNAcentral.